CAGGCUUAACACAUGCAAGUCGAGGGGCAGCAUGGUCUUAUCUUGCUAAGGCCGAUGGCGACCGGCGCACGGGUGAGUAACACGUAUCCAACCUGCCGUCUACUCUUGGACAGCCUUCUGAAAGGAAGAUUAAUACAAGAUGGCAUCAUGAGUCCGCAUGUUCACAUGAUUAAAGGUAUUCCGGUAGACGAUGGGGAUGCGUUCCAUUAGAUAGUAGGCGGGGUAACGGCCCACCUAGUCUUCGAUGGAUAGGGGUUCUGAGAGGAAGGUCCCCCACAUUGGAACUGAGACACGGUCCAAACUCCUACGGGAGGCAGCAGUGAGGAAUAUUGGUCAAUGGGCGAGAGCCUGAACCAGCCAAGUAGCGUGAAGGAUGACUGCCCUAUGGGUUGUAAACUUCUUUUAUAAAGGAAUAAAGUCGGGUAUGGAUACCCGUUUGCAUGUACUUUAUGAAUAAGGAUCGGCUAACUCCGUGCCAGCAGCCGCGGUAAUACGGAGGAUCCGAGCGUUAUCCGGAUUUAUUGGGUUUAAAGGGAGCGUAGAUGGAUGUUUAAGUCAGUUGUGAAAGUUUGCGGCUCAACCGUAAAAUUGCAGUUGAUACUGGAUAUCUUGAGUGCAGUUGAGGCAGGCGGAAUUCGUGGUGUAGCGGUGAAAUGCUUAGAUAUCACGAAGAACUCCGAUUGCGAAGGCAGCCUGCUAAGCUGCAACUGACAUUGAGGCUCGAAAGUGUGGGUAUCAAACAGGAUUAGAUACCCUGGUAGUCCACACGGUAAACGAUGAAUACUCGCUGUUUGCGAUAUACUGCAAGCGGCCAAGCGAAAGCGUUAAGUAUUCCACCUGGGGAGUACGCCGGCAACGGUGAAACUCAAAGGAAUUGACGGGGGCCCGCACAAGCGGAGGAACAUGUGGUUUAAUUCGAUGAUACGCGAGGAACCUUACCCGGGCUUAAAUUGCAGAUGAAUUACGGUGAAAGCCGUAAGCCGCAAGGCAUCUGUGAAGGUGCUGCAUGGUUGUCGUCAGCUCGUGCCGUGAGGUGUCGGCUUAAGUGCCAUAACGAGCGCAACCCUUGUUGUCAGUUACUAACAGGUUCCGCUGAGGACUCUGACAAGACUGCCAUCGUAAGAUGUGAGGAAGGUGGGGAUGACGUCAAAUCAGCACGGCCCUUACGUCCGGGGCUACACACGUGUUACAAUGGGGGGUACAGAGGGCCGCUACCACGCGAGUGGAUGCCAAUCCCCAAAACCUCUCUCAGUUCGGACUGGAGUCUGCAACCCGACUCCACGAAGCUGGAUUCGCUAGUAAUCGCGCAUCAGCCACGGCGCGGUGAAUACGUUCCCGGGCCUUGUACACACCGCCCGUCAAGCCAUGGGAGCCGGGGGUACCUGAAGUGCGUAACCGCGAGGAGCGCCCUAGGGUAAAACUGGUGACUGGGGC
Molecule: ribosomal RNA, 1434 nt
Filed under: uncultured bacterium
Lineage: Bacteria
Description: 16S ribosomal RNA
Rfam family: Bacterial small subunit ribosomal RNA
Source: RNAcentral